GGGGGUCGAAUCAACGUUUCUCUUUGCUUUGGUUUUUAAUUGGACCUCGUGCUUGAAUUCUUCCUCGCUGCACACUAAGAGCAGCGAAGGCAGAUUGCCGGUGCUGCAUUCCCUCUCCAUACCUGGGGGGAAAGUGUAGCGUUGAGUUCCGGGCUGGAAUCCCAUUGCUGGUCCCCGGAGAGGUGAGGUCCUCUCUCCAACCCACACGUAGGUGAUCAAUCCCUCUUAUUACAGCGUGCCACGGCCCAGCCGGGCGCUGCGAGCUCUGAGCACAGGGUUGGCAGGUUCCAAAACCGUUCACAAGGAGGGUUUGGGCUGCGAUUUUACCUCUGCAUGGCAAAUUGCAAAAAGAAACCUUCGGUCGGGGCAGCCGUGCGUCGUUAGCUAAUUAUGGACAGUGCCUUAGCUUCUCUCCAGGAUUAUGCACCGUUUCUAUAGGUCUGAGCUGAAGCGGGAGCCUCCAGAAGCACACGCCGUGCGUUAAACCAUCUCUGCAAAUGCGUUUCGGUGGUGUGGCUGAAGUUGGCAGGCCGCAGGGAGUGAGGAGGUGACCUCUGGGUGAUGGUUUCCCUCCGUGGCAGCUGCCGGCGGUGCCAUCCGAUGGGCCGUUCCCAGGACCCCGAGCAGCUCUUGCUACAGCUCACUUACCUCACUGCUGGAAGGGCAUUACGGUACCGCUCCGACCUCUCCAUCGAGCGUUGUACAAAGGUUGACCCUUUCCCAAUGACUGUUACCUGUCGCCUUUUCCCAGCCUGUGUAUAAAGAUGUUGGUGAGAUGCACUGCGUGCAAAAUGUCUUUUUGUGUCUCUCCGUGGGAGCUGUGGGGGCAUCUCCGCGUAAAGGGCGCAUUCUCCCCCCGUCUCUUUAUUAUUUCCCCAUCUGUUUGGACAGAUGUCGACUAUUAAAAACCUUUUCUGGGCGGCUCCGUUCUCCUUGCUGGUUGUUCAGAGCUCUCUGAAAGCUGCGGGGCUGCCCUGGCCGAGCUGUAAGGGAUCUCCCAUUGUUGGUGGGUUCUGAUAACAGCGGUGACUUCUCGCCGCUGUCCGGUGCUGCGUCUCCCGGUCCUCAUGGAACCCAACUCGGGAUGGGACAUCCCAGAUGGAGCCACGCAUCCCCCAGGGGCUCUGAAUGGCUGUCGGCACCUCGCAGUGACUCCCAGUGGCCCUCGGUGGCUCUUGGUGGCUCUUGGUGGCUCCUAGUGGCUCCCAGUGGCUCUCAAUCACGCUCAGUGGCACCCAGUAGCUCUUGGUGGCUCUCAAUUGCUCCCAGUGGCACCCAAUGGCCCCCCGAAGCUCUUGGUGGCCCUCAGUGGCUCCCAGUGGCCCCCUGUAGCUCUCAGUGGCUCUCACUGACCUUCAGUUGCUCUCAGUGACUCUCAGUGGCCCCCAGUAGCUCUCAGUGACUCCCAGUGGCUCUCAAUUGCUCUCAGUGGCUCCCGGUGGCUCUUGGUGGCUCUCAGUUACUCUCAGUGGCUCCUAAUGUCCCCCCAUAGCUCUUGCUGCCUCUCAGUGGCUCUCAAUCACUCCCAAUGGCUCUCAGUGGCUCCCAGUGGCUCUCAAUCACUCUCAGUGCCCCCUCCCUAUAGAUCUUGGUGGCUCUCAAUGGCUCCCAGUGGCUCUCAGUGACUCUCAUUUGCUCCUGAUGGCUGUUGGUGGAUCUCUAUUGCUCUCAGUGGCUCCCAGUGGCCCCCUGUAGCUCUUGAUGGCUCCCAAUAGCUCUCAGUGGCCCUCAGUGGCUCCCAGUAGCUCUCAGUGGCUCUCACUGACUCUCAGUUGUUCUCAGUGGCUUCCAAUGGCCCCCCCAUAGCCCCCCUCUUGAUCACUCUCAGUGGCUCUCAGUUGCUCUCAGUAGCAAUCAGUCGCUCCCAGUGGCUUCCAGUGGCUCUCAGUGGUUCCCAGUGCCCCCCACCCCCAUAGCUCUCAGUAGCUCUCAGUGGCUCCCAGUCGCUCCCAGUGGCUCUCAAAGGCUCUCAGUGGCUCUGAGUGGCUCCUGGUGGUUCUUGGUGGCUCUCAAUUGCUCUCACACUCCCGAGGGCCCCCCAUAGCUCUCGGUGGCUCCCAAUGGCUCUCAGUGACUCUCAGUGGCUCUCAAUUGCUCUCAGUGGCUUCCAAUGGCUCCCAGUAGCUCCCAGUGGCCCCUCCUAGCCAUUGGUGGCGCUUGGUGGCUCUCGGUGGCUCCCAAUGGCUCUCAAUGGCUCCCAGUAGCUCCCAGUAUCCCCUCUUAGCUCUUAGUGGCUCUCAGUGGCUUCCAGUGGCUCCCAAAGGGUCCCAGUAGCUCCCAGUAUCCCCUCUUAGCUCUUAGUAUCUCUUGGUGGCUCCCAAUAGCUCCCAAUGGCUCUCACUGGCUCCCAGUAGCUCCCAGUGGCCCCUCUUAGCUCUUAGUGGCUCUUGGUGGCUCCCAGUGGCUCCCAAUGGCUCCCAGUAGCUCCCAGUAUCCUCUCUUAGCUCUUAGUGGCUCUUGGUGGCUCCCAAUGGCUUCCAGUGGCCCCUCUUAGCUCUUGGUGGCACUCAAUGGCUCCCA
Long non-coding RNA from Gallus gallus (chicken), 2520 nucleotides. The record is from Ensembl. Lineage: Eukaryota; Metazoa; Chordata; Aves; Galliformes; Phasianidae.